This 468-nucleotide ribosomal RNA is filed under the name uncultured bacterium. RNAcentral's name for it is "partial 16S ribosomal RNA". It matches the Rfam family "Bacterial small subunit ribosomal RNA", at positions 28 to 507 of the family's 1533-position model. The record is from RNAcentral.
GACGAACGCUGGCGGCGUGCUUAACACAUGCAAGUCGAACGGAAAGGCCCUGCUUUUGUGGGGUGCUCGAGUGGCGAACGGGUGAGUAACACGUGAGUAACCUGCCCUUGACUUUGGGAUAACUUCAGGAAACUGGGGCUAAUACCGGAUAGGAGCUCCUGCUGCAUGGUGGGGGUUGGAAAGUUUCGGCGGUUGGGGAUGGACUCGCGGCUUAUCAGCUUGUUGGUGGGGGAGUGGCUUACCCAGGCUUUGACGGGUAGCCGGCCUGAGAGGGUGGCCGGCCACAUUGGGACUGAGAGACGGCCCAGACUCGUACGGGAGGCAGCAGGGGGGAAUAUUGCACAAUGGGCGGAAGCCGGAUGCAGAGACGCCGCGGUCGGGAUGACGGCUUGCGGGUUGUAAACCGCUGUCGCCUGUGACGAAGCGGGAGUGACGGUAAUGGGUAAAGAAGCACCGGCUAACUACGUG